RNAcentral lists this ribosomal RNA (468 nucleotides) under uncultured bacterium. RNAcentral's name for it is "partial 16S ribosomal RNA". It matches the Rfam family "Bacterial small subunit ribosomal RNA", at positions 28 to 507 of the family's 1533-position model. The record is from RNAcentral.
GACGAACGCUGGCGGCGUGCUUAACACAUGCCAGUCGAACGGAAAGGCCCUGCUUUUGUGGGGUGCUCGAGUGGCGAACGGGUGAGUAACACGUGAGUAACCUGCCCUUGACUUUGGGAUAACUUCAGGAAACUGGGGCUAAUACCGGAUAGGAGCUCCUGCUGCAUGGUGGGGGUUGGAAAGUUUCGGCGGUGGGGGAUGGACUCGCGGCUUAUCAGCUUGUUGGUGGGGUAGUGGCUUACCAAGGCUUUGACGGGUAGCCGGCCUGAGAGGGUGACCGGCCACAUUGGGACUGGGAUAGGGCCCAGACUCCAACGGGAGGCAGCAGUGGGGAAUAUUGCAAAAUGGGCGGAAGCCUGAUGCAGCAACGCCGGGUGCGGGAUGACGGCCUUCGGGUUGUAAACCGCUUUCGCCUGUGACGAAGCGUGAGUGACGGUAAUGGGUAAAGAAGCACCGGCUAACUACGUG